Molecule: long non-coding RNA, 1586 nt
Filed under: Callithrix jacchus (white-tufted-ear marmoset)
Lineage: Eukaryota; Metazoa; Chordata; Mammalia; Primates; Cebidae
Description: lncRNA (ENSCJAG00000068981.2)
Source: RNAcentral
GUUGCAGGUGAACCCCUGAUGGGAAUCUUUAUUUCACAGAGUGGAAGCAAAGGAAUUGGAGUGAGUGCAGACCAUGCUUUGAAGGAAUUCUGCCACAAAGGACAUGUCCAACCUGUAAAACCCACCUGUUCUGUCACCCUCAGCUUCUGGUGUCUACUUUCUAGACUGAAGGCAAUACUGGAAAGGUCGGAUUCAAGGGCUUUCAGAUUGACCACCCAUGAAUAUGGGGCUGCGACCCCUAAGGAGGACCUCAGGUGUCUUUUCCCAAGCGAACGUUCUGGAUCUGCCCUUUCUGCGGCUCACCUCCCCAGCCGGUCUUUUGGCUUCAUCUUUGAUUGCUGGCUCUUGUGCUAUUGGAUCAGUGGGGACAUCUAUCUUCUGUCUUCAAACAUCAGAGUUUCUGGUUCCUGGGCCUUUGGACUUGGACUAGAACUUUACUACCAGCUGUCCUGGUUCCCUAGCUUGUGGACAGCAGAGCGUAGAACUUCUUAGCCUCCAUAAUCACGUGAGCCAAUCUUUCAUAAUAAAUCUCCUUCUCUCUCUCUCUCUCCCCCUCCCGUGUGUGUGUGUGAGUGUGUGUGUGUGUGUGUACAGACAGAUUCUGUAUCUCAUCGGUUCUGUUUCUCUGGAGAACCGUGUCUAAUACUGUGUAUGUGUGUGUACGUUCUAUGCAUGUAUAUAUCUCCAAGAAAUGUUAGGUCAAAAAAGCAAGUUGCAAAACAGCAUGUAUAGUAUGCUACCAUUGUACAUGUGCGUAAACAAUUCUGGAAGGGUCUUCAAGAAACGAAUUACAUUGGUGGCUUAUGGAGAAAGAAGCUAGUUGGCUGUCGGGGCGGAAGAGAGACUCAACAUUCACUUUUCUACACUAUUUGAAUUUUGAACCCUGUGAAGGUGUAACCCAUACAAAACAUUAAAUUUUAAAAGUCACCUUAAAAAUGAAUGAAUACUGUCCACUGACAGAUUAAUGGAUUAGCCAAGUGUAGUAUAUGAAUACAAUGGAAUAUUGUUCAGCCUUUAAAAGGAAGGAAAUUCUGACUCAAGCUACAACAUGGAUGAACUGUGAAGAUACUAUACUAAGUGAAAUAAGCCAGUCACAAGGGACAAAUAUUGUAUGAUUCUGGUUAUAUGUGGUACCUAUAAUAGUCAAGUUCAUAAAGACAGAAAGUAGAAUGGUGGUUGCCAAGGGUUUGGUGAGGGGAUAGGAAUGGAGAGUUAUUGUUUGAUAGGUACAGUUUUAGCUUUGCAAGAUCAAAAGAAUUUUGGAGAUUGCAUGCAUAAAAAGUGAAUAUAUUUAAACUACUUUAUAUGGUUUGGCUGUGUCCCCACACAGGUCUCAUCUUGAAUUGCAGUUCCCAUAAACCCCACAUGUCAUUGGAGGGACCUGGUGGGAGGCAAUUGCAUCAGGGGGAUUGUUACUCUCAUGCUGUUCAUGAUAGUGAGUGAGCUCUCACAAGAUCCAGUGGUUUUAUAAGGGGCUUCCUCCUAUCCUUCACUCUCAUUCUUCUCUCUCCUACCUCCAUGUGAAGAGGGAUGUGUUUGCUUGCCCUUCCACCAUGAUUGCAAGUUAUCUGAGGCUUCCCCAGCCC